Molecule: ribosomal RNA, 442 nt
Filed under: uncultured bacterium
Lineage: Bacteria
Description: partial 16S ribosomal RNA
Rfam family: Bacterial small subunit ribosomal RNA
Source: RNAcentral
CCUACAGGAGGCAGCAGUGGGGAAUCUUGGGCAAUGGACGCAAGUCUGACCCAGCAACGCCGCGUGAAGGAAGAAGGCUUUCGGGUUGUAAACUUCUUUUGAGGGAGAAGAGCAGAAGACGGUACCCCUUGAAUAAGCCGCGGCGUACUACGUGCCAGCAGCCGCGGGAAUACGUAGGUGGCCAGCGGUGGCCGGAUUUACUGGGUGUAAAGGGCGUGCAGCCGGUGAGGCAAGGCAGAUGUGAAAUCGACGGGCUCAACCCGUGAACUGCAUUUGAAACUGUUUCCCUUGAGGGUCGGAGAGGAGAUCGGAAUUCCUUGUGUAGCGGUGAAAUGCGUAGAUAUAAGGAAGAACACCAGUGGCGAAGGCGGAUUACUGGACGAUAACUGACGGUGAGGCGCGAAAGCGUGGGGAGCAAACAGGAUUAGAUACCCGAGUAGUC